Molecule: long non-coding RNA, 1667 nt
Filed under: Strigops habroptila (Kakapo)
Lineage: Eukaryota; Metazoa; Chordata; Aves; Psittaciformes; Psittacidae
Description: lncRNA (ENSSHBG00005017909.1)
Source: RNAcentral
UUUUUUUUCUGGUGAUUUAAUCAUAAUAUUGACAACUUUAUCAAAAAUUACAAAACUGAUAUUAAAAAAAUCUCUAAUUCUUAGUAAGACUAGAAUGGGUUUUUUUUUAAAAAUAGAAAAGCACUUUUAUGCUACGGCUCUUCUGGAAUUCUCACAUUACAACCCUACAUAGCAAAAUACAAACUGUAGCUAAGAAAGGUAGCAGUCCUAAGGUAAUUCAGUCCACCAUGAGCCCUCUAAUAUCUCUAUACCAUCAAACUCAGGGACUCCAAAAGGAUAUCACAUUACUUAGACACCUUCUGCAGAGCUGAUUUAGGAAAUACCUUUAAAUUUUAAGCUCUUUUUAACCCCUAAAACCUCAGACUGUGAGGAUAACAGACCUGGGACAUCAGAGGUGGGUUGGGGUUUUUUUUGAUUUUUGCAAGUUUUUCUUUUUAAACUAUGUGGAUAUUAUUUUUGCAGCUGAUACCAGCCAAACAUUUUCUGUCAGAAGUGAAAAUAUGAAGAAAAUCCAUUGAAAUAAAUGAAAAUAUUUUUUUUAUGGUGUUCACAAAAUGCACCAUAAUAGAAAGAGGAAUAUUUCCUUUAAUUUGAAUGUCAUCUGAAUGACUCAACCACAUUGUCACCCACUUAGCAAAAGAAAGCAUAAUAAAUAAAUAAAUAAAUAGACAAGAAUAUGUAACACUUUACAUUCUCAAAGAAUCAUGUCGUUCCCUAAUCUACUGAGAUACUGCUUGACAUCGUGGGCUCACUUCACUCAGCCAGUUCAGUUUCGUGUGAUUGUGCCAUAUUAAUGACAUAUAAAGUGGUGUUCCACUUUCCACAAUGGAGUAUUUUUUUUUUCCACCUUUUAAAUAUAGGAAUUCUCUCUUAAAUUAGAAAGUAGGCAAAAAGUACUUUUUAAAUUUUCAUUUUUAAGUCUUCUAUUAGAAAAAAUAUAGAUUUAUUAAACAAAAAAUAAUAAGAUAGAAAGAAGGGUUGGGCCUCCAUCAAAAAAGUAUAUUAUGCUUCAAUGCAAAGAGAAAGAAAUGGCUCUAUGGGCAAAAUUCAAGUAUGAGUGACCAGUUUUUUAAUCAUAAAGUAGGUGCAACAUUUUUUAAAAUGUUACAACACUGCAUGACCUGUAAUGCUCACAAUAUUUACAUUAACUGCUUACAUGAAACCAUAAAAACUCUAAAAGAGAAAAAAAAUUGGUAUGGACUGAAACAAGCUACUCCUAGCACCCACAUCAAUGCCAUUAUUAACCAAUGAAAUCAAGUGCACAAAAAUACUUUACAUAGUCUACUGAUGUAAAGUAUACAUUGGUGAGGAAGUACAAACCUAAUUAGUUAAAACGCCAAAAGAAGGGGUCAGUCAAUACAAACUCGGUUCUAGGACAGAAAGCAAAGGGAGGAAGAACCUAAAUCGAGACAGGCGCUCGCACACGCACACAUACACACGCACGCAUGUAAUGAUGAGUUAAAACCCACGCGGGUGUGGAAAGACAGUGGGAAAGCAGCUGGCGUGGACAAUGGCCAACAGCAACUGUUUGAAUGAACACGUCAACGCAGGACAGAAAAGCGUGAGCUAAACUACACCCCCAAAAGACAGAAGUUGAGAAAAAUAAUAAAGAAAAUCAAUCACUUCACAUGAGCUUGCAUGGAGGACGGUGGCGUUACAGAAAAGAC